GACGAACGCUGGCGGCGUGCUUAACACAUGCAAGUCGAACGGAAAGGCCCUGCUUGCCGGGUACUCGAUUGGCGAACGGGUGAGUAACACGUGGGUGAUCUGCCCUGCACUUCGGGAUAAGCUUGGGAAACUGGGUCUAAUACCGGAUAGGAACCAUCUUUAGUGUGGUGGUUGGAACGUUUUUUCGGUGUAGGAUGAGCGCGCGGCCUAUCAGCUUGUUGGUGGGGUAAUGGCCUACCAAGGCGGCGACGGGUAUCCGGCAUGAGAGGGGGGACGGCCACAUUGGGAAUGAGAAACGGGACAGACUCCUAAGGGAGGCAGCAGGGGGGAAUAUGGCACAAUGGGCGAAAGCCGGAUGCAGCGACGCCGCGUGGGGGAUGAAGGCCGUCGGGUUGUAAACUCCUUUCGCUAGGGACGAAGCAUUGUUGUGACGGUACCUAGAUAAGAAGCACCGGCUAACUACGUG
Molecule: ribosomal RNA, 466 nt
Filed under: uncultured bacterium
Lineage: Bacteria
Description: partial 16S ribosomal RNA
Rfam family: Bacterial small subunit ribosomal RNA
Source: RNAcentral